RNAcentral lists this ribosomal RNA (253 nucleotides) under bacterium. RNAcentral's name for it is "partial 16S ribosomal RNA". It matches the Rfam family "Bacterial small subunit ribosomal RNA", at positions 524 to 776 of the family's 1533-position model. RNAcentral also lists the same sequence under 1 other name. The record is from RNAcentral.
UACGUAGGGUGCAAGCGUUGUCCGGAUUUAUUGGGCGUAAAGAGCUCGUAGGCGGUUAGUCACGUCGGAUGUGAAAACUCAGAGCUUAACUCUGAGCCUGCAUUCGAUACGGGCUGACUAGAGUGUUGUAGGGGAGACUGGAACUCCUGGUGUAGCGGUGAAAUGCGCAGAUAUCAGGAAGAACACCGGUGGCGAAGGCGGGUCUCUGGGCAACUACUGACGCUGAGGAGCGAAAGCGUGGGGAGCAAACAGG